GCUUUCAACAUCCCCGUUCCGGGGCGUGGUUUCCGAUCCAAACGGAGCUUCGCGGCCGGAACUGAAGGC
RNAcentral lists this small RNA (69 nucleotides) under unclassified sequences. RNAcentral describes it as "NAD+-I sequence". It matches the Rfam family "nadA riboswitch". The record is from Rfam by way of RNAcentral.